RNAcentral lists this ribosomal RNA (253 nucleotides) under uncultured bacterium. RNAcentral describes it as "partial 16S ribosomal RNA". It matches the Rfam family "Bacterial small subunit ribosomal RNA", at positions 524 to 776 of the family's 1533-position model. The record is from RNAcentral.
UACGUAGGUGGCAAGCGUUGUCCGGAUUUAUUGGGUUUAAAGGGCGCGUAGGCGGCCUUAUAAGUCAGUGCUGAAAUAUCCCGGCUUAACCGGGAGGGUGGCAUUGAUACUGUAGGGCUUGAGUGUAGUCGAGGUAGGCGGAAUUGACGGUGUAGCGGUGAAAUGCUUAGAUAUCGUCAAGAACACCGAUAGUGUAGACAGCUUACUAGGCUACAACUGACGCUGAGGCACGAAAGUGUGGGGAUCAAACAGG